RNAcentral lists this ribosomal RNA (492 nucleotides) under uncultured bacterium. Its description in RNAcentral is "partial 16S ribosomal RNA". It matches the Rfam family "Bacterial small subunit ribosomal RNA", at positions 29 to 507 of the family's 1533-position model. The record is from RNAcentral.
AGUGAACGCUGGCGGUAGGCCUAACACAUGCAAGUCGAACGGCAGCACAGUAAGAGCUUGCUCUUACGGGUGGCGAGUGGCGGACGGGUGAGGAAUACAUCGGAAUCUACUUUUUCGUGGGGGAUAACGUAGGGAAACUUACGCUAAUACCGCAUACGACCUACGGGUGAAAGCAGUGGAUCUUCGGACCUUGCGCGAUUGAAUGAGCCGAUGUCGGAUUAGCUUGUUGGCGGGGUAAAGGCCCACCAAGGCGACGAUCCGUAGCUGGUCUGAGAGGAUGAUCAGCCACACUGGAACUGAGACACGGUCCAGACUCCUACGGGAGGCAGCAGUGGGGAAUAUUGGACAAUGGGCGCAAGCCUGAUCCAGCCAUACCGCGUGGGUGAAGAAGGCCUUCGGGUUGUAAAGCCCUUUUGUUGGGAAAGAAAAGCAGCAGGUUAAUCCCCCGCUGUUCUGACGGUACCCAAAGAAUAAGCACCGGCUAACUUCGUG